GUCGACAAUACUUCAGAGAAUCAUUUCUAUAGUAUUCGACCCUUUCUUGGUUCCCUAAAGGAGCCACAGAUCCCACCCUGGUUGAUGAUUGAUAUCCUCGACACCCUAGAGUGAAGAACUCUUGGUUGCUCUCGAACCCUCCGCAAGGGGGGCGGCCCAGUUUCGACUGGUGCUGUAUAGAGAGCAUUUGAUGAUCUCGUCCCCGUUCGCGGUCUUGCCUUCGUGGCGCGCGGAUGGGGUGGGUGUCGAUGGACGUCUGACAGGC
Colletotrichum higginsianum is the source of this 265-nucleotide non-coding RNA. The record is from Rfam. Lineage: Eukaryota; Fungi; Ascomycota; Sordariomycetes; Glomerellales; Glomerellaceae.